Molecule: ribosomal RNA, 459 nt
Filed under: uncultured bacterium
Lineage: Bacteria
Description: partial 16S ribosomal RNA
Rfam family: Bacterial small subunit ribosomal RNA
Source: RNAcentral
CCUACGGGUGGCUGCAGUGAGGAAUAUUGGUCAAUGGCCGUAAGGCUGAACCAGCCAAGUCGCGUGAAGGAAGAAGGCUCUAUGGUUUGUAAACUUCUUUUAUAGGGGAAUAAAGGUAUCCACGUGUGGAUAUUUGCAUGUACCCUAUGAAUAAGCAUCGGCUAACUCCGUGCCAGCAGCCGCGGUAAUACGGAGGAUGCGAGCGUUUUCCGGAUUUAUUGGGUUUAAAGGGUGCGUAGGUUGUUUUUUAAGUCAGCGGUGAAAGUUUGUGGCUCAACCGCGCCCCGCAGUUGAAACUGGACGCCUGGAGUUCAGAACAGGCAGGCGGAAUUCGUGGUGUAGCGGUGAAAUGCAUAGAUAUCACGAGGAACCCCGAUUGCGAAGGCAGCCUGCCGGGGUGCGACUGACGCUGAGGCUCGAAGGUGCGGGUAUCAAACAGGAUUAGAUACCCGAGUAGUC